UACGAAGGGUGCGAGCGCUAUUCGGAAUGAUUGGGCGUACAGGGUGCGCAGGCGGUAUAUUAAGUCAACUGUUAAAUUUCCCAGCCUAACUGGGAACCAGCGGUAGAUACUGGUAUACUAGAGGAUGGAAGAGAGAAGUGGAAUUCUUGGAGUAGCGGUAAAAUGCGUAGAUCUCAAGAGGAACACCGAUGGCGAAGGCAGCUUCUUGGUCCAUACCUGACGCUCAUGCACGAGAGCGUGGGGAGCAAACAGG
This 253-nucleotide unclassified non-coding RNA is filed under the name uncultured bacterium. Its description in RNAcentral is "contains 16S-23S intergenic spacer region". It matches the Rfam family "Bacterial small subunit ribosomal RNA", at positions 524 to 776 of the family's 1533-position model. The record is from RNAcentral.